UCUCUCUCUCUCUCUCUCUCUCUCUCUCUCUCUCUGUUGGCUAAUGAGGAUAUGCUCAACUCUCUGCGUCUGUCUUUCUUCUGAUAUAUAUAUAUAUAUAUAUAGAUGACUCUGCGCACUCCUAACGAUAUUGGGGAAAUUACCGUGGAACUUCGAAGCAUGUAACUGAGGAUAAAAUGAAGGGGAGCGACGGUGGGGGGCUAUUUAUACUGGUGGGGAGGUGAAGAGAGAGAAAGGCUGGUGAAGUGAAGGGUUACUUCUCGCUUUAGAAUCCCUUUCCUUACUCCCCUCCUUUUGUAGCUCAUCAAUCACAGAGAGCAGACAGAACAGAACAGAACAGAACAGAACAGAAUAGAACGGAGAGCGGUGUGCAUAUAUAGCUGUUAAUAUAUGUAUAUAAAAACAGGGUAGUGGGGUGGGAGAGUGUUUCAGAAUAGAAAUGGCGGCUGUGGCUGCGCGGUCCCUCUGCCGUCUUCCUGCGUCGCAGGUGCAUCCAUCAUCCAUCUCCAUGCCAUCAUUGCUUGCUCACAUACCAUGCUAUGACUUUAUGCUAAUAUGCACGCAUACAUUCUGGCAUUUUUGGCAUGAUAGAUAGAUCCACGGUAUGAUGAUGUACAUGCAUAGCAUGGAGGGAUGGGUAGUUCAACGGACGAGCGACAUAGGAGGCGGCGUGGCACGAAGGGCGCCACUGGCUACGUGGAGACGCCGAGCUCAGCCACGGUUCUGUUGCCACGUGGGCGGCGAGGCGGCGUUUAACGGCGCAUCAUAUAAUAUCAUGAUGGAGGGGGAGGGGGAGGGGGAGGGUGGGGCACGUGACAAACCCAGUCAAUGAUGUGCCAGUGAUGGCGGCAGAGCACCGAACGCCAUCUGCCACGAGAUUGACGGAGGCUCGCUGGCGCUUCCUCGUACUUUGGCGAACCGCAGAGCUUCUUUACGUGUUUGGUGGUUUCCCCAUUCCACAUGAGCUUUGCCAGUUGGUUGAAGCGGGGUAACGUAUGCGGACGCUGUUCCUUCGGCAGCCGUUCGUUGAGGAGGGGUCGAGGGUGGGGUUUGGAAUUGAUUGCAGGCGUUUCGAGUCAGAUGGUGGGGCAAUGAUUGGGGAUGACCUCCCCAUCAUUUGUUUCUACCCACGCAUCCCACCCAUUCACCCUACCUUAGUUAACCGCGAGACCAAAGAAGGUAAAAACAUUCCGAUCCGAGUAGCUUAAGGGUUAGUCAAGUAUGGAUUUGGGUAAGGUGGUUGCUGCUGCGUCACUGAAUUUGUCAGCUCCACCUCGUCUGAUCUCCCACGUUCCAUAUUCCAUCGCCAGUUUACCAUUUGGAUCUUCCUGGUCGGGCCCACCUAUUUGUUUCUUGUGCUGUGUCUUUUGGCUUUCUUCCCCCUCCCCCUCCCCACCCUACCCUUCGCCUUCUCGCCUUUUUCUUGUCCUGGCGUAGGGUCCGUCGACGUACCAAAUUCCGUCCGCGGAAAUGAUAUGUGAACAAGAUGAGCCACAUCCUUCAACCUAAUCAUAUCUAAUCUCUCACCUGUCUGAGCUCCACGAGCAUCGUUCGAUGGUCGAGUCCUCUCGAUGUGCUCAGAGAUGCCAUCAAUCCCCAAAUUUCGAUUCACAAUCUAAAUCAGGUCCAAUUCGGAUCGGUCGAUCUGCUUCGAUCCCAAUCUAAGACUGGCCCUACCCUCGUAACUCAACUUAGCAGUCAAAGCUCCAAGUCAAAUCAGGUUGGACUCACAUCGGCAUCAUUUUUUGGAUAAAGAUCAAAGAGCCAUCGGAGUCAUAUAUCUUGAUAAGGGUAAAAAUGAUGACGUAAUGCGCCCUAACGUCAGUCAUACCUGGACGACACACUGCCCGAGGAAGGGGACAUUAACGCCGACUUGAUAUGCGCCAGCAUCACCCGCUUCCAGUCAACGACUCCACCGUCUGACCCCGCGAGCUCAGCCGAGGUAGAGGGGGACGUCGACCGAGGCUCGCCCAUACCCUGCGGUAGCCGGUUCUCCACGCAAUCCCAGUGGCAAUGCCAGACACU
Molecule: long non-coding RNA, 2025 nt
Filed under: Musa acuminata (dwarf banana)
Lineage: Eukaryota; Viridiplantae; Streptophyta; Magnoliopsida; Zingiberales; Musaceae
Description: long non-coding RNA (MACU_LNC002132)
Source: RNAcentral